CAUGACAGUCGACGAUGAAGCCCAGCUUGCUGGGUGGAUUAGUGGCGAACGGGUGAGUAACACGUGAGUAACCUGCCCUUGACUCUGGGAUAAGCGUUGGAAACGACGUCUAAUACCGGAUACGAGCUUCCACCGCAUGGUGAGUUGCUGGAAAGAAUUUUGGUCAAGGAUGGACUCGCGGCCUAUCAGCUUGUUGGUGAGGUAACGGCUCACCAAGGCGACGACGGGUAGCCGGCCUGAGAGGGUGACCGGCCACACUGGGACUGAGACACGGCCCAGACUCCUACGGGAGGCAGCAGUGGGGAAUAUUGCACAAUGGGCGAAAGCCUGAUGCAGCAACGCCGCGUGAGGGACGACGGCCUUCGGGUUGUAAACCUCUUUUAGCAGGGAAGAAGCGAAAGUGACGGUACCUGCAGAAAAAGCACCGGCUAACUACGUGCCAGCAGCCGCGGUAAUACGUAGGGUGCAAGCGUUGUCCGGAAUUAUUGGGCGUAAAGAGCUCGUAGGCGGUUUGUCGCGUCUGCUGUGAAAUCCCGAGGCUCAACCUCGGGUCUGCAGUGGGUACGGGCAGACUAGAGUGCGGUAGGGGAGAUUGGAAUUCCUGGUGUAGCGGUGGAAUGCGCAGAUAUCAGGAGGAACACCGAUGGCGAAGGCAGAUCUCUGGGCCGCUACUGACGCUGAGGAGCGAAAGGGUGGGGAGCAAACAGGCUUAGAUACCCUGGUAGUCCACCCCGUAAACGUUGGGCGCUAGAUGUGGGGACCAUUCCACGGUUUCCGUGUCGUAGCUAACGCAUUAAGCGCCCCGCCUGGGGAGUACGGCCGCAAGGCUAAAACUCAAAGGAAUUGACGGGGGCCCGCACAAGCGGCGGAGCAUGCGGAUUAAUUCGAUGCAACGCGAAGAACCUUACCAAGGCUUGACAUAUACGAGAACGGGCCAGAAAUGGUCAACUCUUUGGACACUCGUAAACAGGUGGUGCAUGGUUGUCGUCAGCUCGUGUCGUGAGAUGUUGGGUUAAGUCCCGCAACGAGCGCAACCCUCGUUCUAUGUUGCCAGCACGUAAUGGUGGGAACUCAUGGGAUACUGCCGGGGUCAACUCGGAGGAAGGUGGGGACGACGUCAAAUCAUCAUGCCCCUUAUGUCUUGGGCUUCACGCAUGCUACAAUGGCCAGUACAAAGGGCUGCAAUACCGUAAGGUGGAGCGAAUCCCAAAAAGCUGGUCCCAGUUCGGAUUGAGGUCUGCAACUCGACCUCAUGAAGUCGGAGUCGCUAGUAAUCGCAGAUCAGCAACGCUGCGGUGAAUACGUUCCCGGGCCUUGUACACACCGCCCGUCAAGUCAUGAAAGUCGGUAACACCCGAAGCCAGUGGCCUAACCGCAAGGAUGUAUG
Molecule: ribosomal RNA, 1387 nt
Filed under: Plantibacter flavus
Lineage: Bacteria; Bacillati; Actinomycetota; Actinomycetes; Micrococcales; Microbacteriaceae
Description: bacterial SSU rRNA
Rfam family: Bacterial small subunit ribosomal RNA
Source: RNAcentral